RNAcentral lists this ribosomal RNA (2901 nucleotides) under Klebsiella pneumoniae. RNAcentral describes it as "23S ribosomal RNA". It matches the Rfam family "Bacterial large subunit ribosomal RNA". Lineage: Bacteria; Pseudomonadati; Pseudomonadota; Gammaproteobacteria; Enterobacterales; Enterobacteriaceae. The record is from RNAcentral.
GGUUAAGCGACUAAGCGUACACGGUGGAUGCCCUGGCAGUCAGAGGCGAUGAAGGACGUGCUAAUCUGCGAAAAGCGUCGGUAAGGUGAUAUGAACCGUUAUAACCGGCGAUGUCCGAAUGGGGAAACCCAGUGUGAUUCGUCACACUAUCGUUAACUGAAUACAUAGGUUAACGAGGCGAACCGGGGGAACUGAAACAUCUAAGUACCCCGAGGAAAAGAAAUCAACCGAGAUUCCCCCAGUAGCGGCGAGCGAACGGGGAGCAGCCCAGAGUCUGAAUCAGCUUGUGUGUUAGUGGAACGGUCUGGAAAGUCCGACGGUACAGGGUGAUAGUCCCGUACACCAAAAUGCACAGGUUGUGAACUCGAAGAGUAGGGCGGGACACGUGGUAUCCUGUCUGAAUAUGGGGGACCAUCCUCCAAGGCUAAAUACUCCUGACUGACCGAUAGUGAACCAGUACCGUGAGGGAAAGGCGAAAAGAACCCCGGCGAGGGGAGUGAAAAAGAACCUGAAACCGUGUACGUACAAGCAGUGGGAGCACCUUCGGGUGUGACUGCGUACCUUUUGUAUAAUGGGUCAGCGACUUAUAUUCUGUAGCAAGGUUAACCGUAUAGGGGAGCCGCAGGGAAACCGAGUCUUAACUGGGCGUUAAGUUGCAGGGUAUAGACCCGAAACCCGGUGAUCUAGCCAUGGGCAGGUUGAAGGUUGGGUAACACUAACUGGAGGACCGAACCGACUAAUGUUGAAAAAUUAGCGGAUGACUUGUGGCUGGGGGUGAAAGGCCAAUCAAACCGGGAGAUAGCUGGUUCUCCCCGAAAGCUAUUUAGGUAGCGCCUCGUGAACUCAUCUUCGGGGGUAGAGCACUGUUUCGGCUAGGGGGUCAUCCCGACUUACCAACCCGAUGCAAACUACGAAUACCGAAGAAUGUUAUCACGGGAGACACACGGCGGGUGCUAACGUCCGUCGUGAAGAGGGAAACAACCCAGACCGCCAGCUAAGGUCCCAAAGUCAUGGUUAAGUGGGAAACGAUGUGGGAAGGCACAGACAGCCAGGAUGUUGGCUUAGAAGCAGUCAUCAUUUAAAGAAAGCGUAAUAGCUCACUGGUCGAGUCGGCCUGCGCGGAAGAUGUAACGGGGCUAAACCAUGCACCGAAGCUGCGGCAGCGACACUAUGUGUUGUUGGGUAGGGGAGCGUUCUGUAAGCCUGCGAAGGUGACCUGUGAGGGUUGCUGGAGGUAUCAGAAGUGCGAAUGCUGACAUAAGUAACGAUAAAGCGGGUGAAAAGCCCGCUCGCCGGAAGACCAAGGGUUCCUGUCCAACGUUAAUCGGGGCAGGGUGAGUCGACCCCUAAGGCGAGGCCGAAAGGCGUAGUCGAUGGGAAACAGGUUAAUAUUCCUGUACUUGGUGUUACUGCGAAGGGGGGACGGAGAAGGCUAUGUUAGCCGGGCGACGGUUGUCCCGGUUUAAGCAUGUAGGCUGAUUAUCCAGGCAAAUCCGGAUAAUCAAGGCUGAGGUGUGAUGACGAGGCACUACGGUGCUGAAGUAACAAAUGCCCUGCUUCCAGGAAAAGCCUCUAAGCAUCAGGUAACAUUAAAUCGUACCCCAAACCGACACAGGUGGUCAGGUAGAGAAUACCAAGGCGCUUGAGAGAACUCGGGUGAAGGAACUAGGCAAAAUGGUGCCGUAACUUCGGGAGAAGGCACGCUGGUGUGUAGGUGAAGUCCCUGCGGAUGGAGCUGAGACCAGUCGAAGAUACCAGCUGGCUGCAACUGUUUAUUAAAAACACAGCACUGUGCAAACACGAAAGUGGACGUAUACGGUGUGACGCCUGCCCGGUGCCGGAAGGUUAAUUGAUGGGGUUAUCCGUAAGGAGAAGCUCUUGAUCGAAGCCCCGGUAAACGGCGGCCGUAACUAUAACGGUCCUAAGGUAGCGAAAUUCCUUGUCGGGUAAGUUCCGACCUGCACGAAUGGCGUAAUGAUGGCCAGGCUGUCUCCACCCGAGACUCAGUGAAAUUGAACUCGCUGUGAAGAUGCAGUGUACCCGCGGCAAGACGGAAAGACCCCGUGAACCUUUACUAUAGCUUGACACUGAACAUUGAGCCUUGAUGUGUAGGAUAGGUGGGAGGCUUUGAAGCGUGGACGCCAGUCUGCGUGGAGCCAACCUUGAAAUACCACCCUUUAAUGUUUGAUGUUCUAACGUUGGCCCCUGACCGGGGUUGCGGACAGUGUCUGGUGGGUAGUUUGACUGGGGCGGUCUCCUCCCAAAGCGUAACGGAGGAGCACGAAGGUUAGCUAAUCCUGGUCGGACAUCAGGAGGUUAGUGCAAUGGCAUAAGCUAGCUUGACUGCGAGCGUGACGGCGCGAGCAGGUGCGAAAGCAGGUCAUAGUGAUCCGGUGGUUCUGAAUGGAAGGGCCAUCGCUCAACGGAUAAAAGGUACUCCGGGGAUAACAGGCUGAUACCGCCCAAGAGUUCAUAUCGACGGCGGUGUUUGGCACCUCGAUGUCGGCUCAUCACAUCCUGGGGCUGAAGUAGGUCCCAAGGGUAUGGCUGUUCGCCAUUUAAAGUGGUACGCGAGCUGGGUUUAGAACGUCGUGAGACAGUUCGGUCCCUAUCUGCCGUGGACGCUGGAGAAUUGAGGGGGGCUGCUCCUAGUACGAGAGGACCGGAGUGGACGCAUCACUGGUGUUCGGGUUGUCAUGCCAAUGGCACUGCCCGGUAGCUAAAUGCGGAAGAGAUAAGUGCUGAAAGCAUCUAAGCACGAAACUUGCCCCGAGAUGAGUUCUCCCUGAGACUUUAAGUCUCCUGAAGGAACGUUAAAGACGAUGACGUUGAUAGGCCGGGUGUGUAAGCGCAGCGAUGCGUUGAGCUAACCGGUACUAAUGAACCGUGAGGCUUAACCUU